ACUAGUUCACACUGAAUGCAUCUGGUGAACAUGUCAUCCCAGUGUUGUCUUCAGUGCAGUAGUACUGCUCCUGCAGAUACUUCCUGUCAGAUUUCUGUCCUGUAGACUUAUCACUCAGACAGGCAUUAAAGUGAACGGUGGCUUUAAACCUGGAAGAGAGGAGCACCAGGGACAGAGCCAAGGCGACGACAGAGAACGGGACACUUUCACUCUCUUCUGGGAGGAUGAACGGGAUGACGAUGCGGUUUCUUCCUGGUGGACCAUGUUUUGUUGAGAGAGACUUAAAUGUUUCCCACACACCGUCAUUUGGCUGCAGAGGGCUAACAAUGAUGUUUGGGAUGUUCCGUCCUUUAGCUUUCUUCAGUGAGUUCCAGUAGUCUGGCAGGUUCAGGGGUUGAUAUUUGUCAAAAAGAAUUCUACUGUGGAGAAAAAACGGUAGUGAACGGUAAAAAACUCUGUGCUGUGGCCUCAUUUUUCCUGUUGCAAUGCCAUAGGUUACAGCACCAGUGGUGCCACAGUUCCAGGGAGAGUACAGGACCAGGUCAGUGAUGGUGGGCAGAGGCAGCAAACAGCUGGCUGGGAUCAUGGAGUCUCUGAUUGAUCCAUGUGCCACAAAGAUUAUGUCAACAGUGUCACUGUGGUUCUUCUUUUCUUCUUCAUCAAUUUUACUUUUCAGGAAAUCAAACAUGUCUGAGAGUUUUCUGAAGGUGCCAGACUCUGAAUUUUCUCUCAGCCACUGCAGGACAGUUUCAUCUUUGCAGUUUUCUAUUGCAAGGUUUAUUAAUCUUUUCCUUUCAGCAGAGCUCCUGGGACUUUCAGGGCGACAUGCAGCAUUCCGAUUUGCCCUUUUAUUAGAAAAGAACAAAGAACGAAGAUUAGCAAGUGCAGACAGCUUUGACUGGAUCAGUGUGAUACUAAAGAAAACUGAACCUUUAAGUGUCUGAGUGAGAUCAUAA
This is a long non-coding RNA of Oreochromis aureus, 956 nucleotides long. The record is from Ensembl. Lineage: Eukaryota; Metazoa; Chordata; Actinopteri; Cichliformes; Cichlidae.